This 1476-nucleotide long non-coding RNA is filed under the name Struthio camelus australis. RNAcentral describes it as "lncRNA (ENSSCUG00000016545.1)". Lineage: Eukaryota; Metazoa; Chordata; Aves; Struthioniformes; Struthionidae. The record is from RNAcentral.
GAGGGACAGCCAGCACAAGGCAAAAAGUAGCAUCGUGUGGCCAGAAGCAUGAUGGAGUAGGGACGGGGAUGAUGGGAGAGCAAACUGGCCUUUUCAGCAGCAGUGAAUAUUUGGUUCGGCUUAGCCACUUGUAAAGGUGUGGUCCAAGGCUAUACCAAAACAACAGCUUUUAUUCUGCUAGUAGCUGUGGGAACAGACAUUUGAGGGAGACGGGUAGAGAGAUUAGACUGAAUAUCUUUGAGAAUUUCUUCUACUCUACUUUCUUCUACUUUGACCCAGGAUAUAUGUUUGGGGACAGAAUAACCCCUAUCAUGAAUCUCCUGUUAUUAUUUCAGUCCCUUUGUUCAGUUAUAUUGCAGUAGUGGCAUAUCAGAAGAAUUCAGCCCUGUUCCUGAUGGUGGCUCAUUACUAGGUCUUCAAAGAUUAAAAAAAAAACAAGAAAUAACAUUCAGAAGUUAGAUCAUCAGAUGAAAUAUAUUUAGGAAGUGCUGAAAUGCUUGAAAAUGAAAUUCUUGAUGUUGUUGUGAGCAUCCCUAAUUUAGUCCUCUUGUGUUGUGUGCAUUAUGGUACCUGAUUCAAUAGCAUGAUUAUCUUUCCUACAGCUUUCCUGCAGCUUCAUCUUUCAGUGAAUGGAAUUGAAAGAAACUCUUAUAAUGAAUGCCCUAGGAAAAACCAUGAAGAAAUUAAAAAUUCUGUGUAGACUUCAUAUGGUGGGCAAUAAUCCACUCCCUUGCAUGGAGUUCAGCUCUCAGUCCAGACCACCCACAUUAUCAAUGAAUGCUCUGAUGUUGCCCUUCAACCACCUGGAACUGGACAGCUGCCUUUUAAAACAGACUACACCCUCUUUUACUUCCUAAUGUCUCAGUAAACUCAGCUUUUCAUACUGCUAAAGCCCAUUUUACAAGAUUUAAACUGAAAGCUCUUUGAGGUUAAUCUCCUGCCAGUAUGGGAGGAUCCACUUCCCACUGCAUUCGCAUCACUAGGAGACUGAGGUUCAGAGAACUGCAGACCACCAUCAAGCCAAUUUCACAUGAGCUGAAAGAAAUGGAGGUAGGAGAAACACCAACUUGUAAUUUUCUGAAUUAAUCCUUCAUUUUGCCCUGCCUUAUCUGUUUUUUUUUUUCUUUUAGAUGAAAAACUCCAUGGGAUAAAGAACUGUCUACAUUUUUGGAUUUGUGCAGUAUCAAGUACACUAUCAUCAAAAGAAUUAUAAUUCAGUAGUGAUGAAACAAUGCCAGCUAUAAAGGCUUUAACUAGAGACAGAAAGAAAAGUACUUGAAAAUGUAUCAGCACCUGUUUUAAUGUGUUUUUAGGUAAAACUCAGUUCCUUUUACAGAUAGCGCUUUAGAAAAUGACAGCUAUUCAUAGACCUAAUAUUUUAAAUUUUUUCCUUUCAUUGUUCAUGCUGGAUGCUCAACAGUAUUUAAAAAUGAGUUAAUUAAUAAAAUGUGUGCAAAUACGUCUAAAAGCGUAACU